CCCGCCUCCGCGCCUGUGUCCGUCUCCGCAGGCGCAUGUAUAUCCAAUAUCUUCCCACCGGGCACAAACCGUCCAAUAUCAUCUACCAACCCUUCUCCUAACGCAUCCGACAACCCCGCCACUUCUCCCCGCAACACUUCCACCUCAUAUGCCAGCCGGCCCCCUCCACGCAGUAUUUCAUCCGUCAGCUGCGUGAGGGUAUUCGACAGCCGCACAUUUUGCGCACUGAGUUGUGAGACGAGGGAUUGAGUUUGUGCUGAAAGCGCCGCAAGGGAGACAGUGGAGGUGGUAGUGGUAGUGGAGGUGUCUGCAGCUUUUGGUUUUGCUGUUGGCGUUAUCGCUGUUGUUGUUUGGGACGAAGAGAGGGAGAAGGAGAAGGGCGGAAGGAUGUUGUUUAGGUACUCUACUGGGUCGAAGGCGGGAUCUGCGAAUACGGAGAGGGUGGGGUCAAGGUGGGAGGAUGAAGAUUGCUGUGUCAUCUUGGGGCCUUCUGGGGGUCCGUGUAGAGUGGCGGGGUCCAUGGCUUGUGGAAUCGGAGUAUGAAAUGAAUGGGAUAAAUAUGUGACGAACGUUAUUCCGGUCUUGGUUUGUUGCUUUCUUUUAGGGGUGCGUGGUCGGGACGGCUCCACGCCUUUUCAAGCGGUGAUUUGUGUCUGGGUAUUCCGGGGCAUUUGUAUUAAAAGAAAUGUCUAUCAAUUGAGCAUAGGUUCCCUGGAAACCUCUGCGGUAGGAUGUAGUGGUUUUGUCCGUGCCUUGUAUGUGUAGACCAUAGCACAGAUAGGCGGAAGUUGCUUCUGGCGUAGAGCUUAACUGGUUGACUGGUGAUCACGGCGGAUUAUGUAACUAACCCAGGUCACCCUUAUUUCCUUGGUCUUUUGUAAAGGUUUUUCUUCUUCUAACCUUUUGGUAACCAUUCUUGACAGUUUACUGGCUUAAGUUAAUCCUUAUAUUAUUCUCGCCUUUUGAGCUGCUCAGUGCAUAACCAAUGCGGUCAACCCUCAAACAGAGUUAUUUUUAAGCUGCAUAGUACGUUCAGACGCUAUUGAUGAUUGUGCCAGAGCAUCGCGGCACCACGAUGGUCAGAGCGGACGUCCUUGAGCUUGAAACAAUUUUCUCCCGGAGGUCGAAAUGAGUGCAAAGGCGUCGAUAUCCAUACUAUGUAUAAGAAACUUAAAGCUAUCACACGUGGAAUAUACACAGCGCCAAAACCCAAGCAUUUGCCCAGGUUAGUAUUCCGAGCGAAUCGCGCAUAAGUUUGCCCCCGUUGAACCAGCGAAUCCAGGUAGGGCCAAAGGCUAAAUUUGGCUAUGCGGGAUCGAUGGUAAGUUUACCGGUGUGACAGAUGGUUUUUGGAGUUAUCAGGGUUGGAGCUCGAUCCUCCGUAUUCGAUUCGCCAAUAAGGUACACUGGACAGGAUCUGGAAAUGCUUCAUGAGAAUGAUCACUUAAAAAGAGAGUUUUUGAUGAUUUAUUAGUUGUUUAGUUGGACAAACUAAGCAAAGGGGUACAUGCAGGAGAAGAAAGCCUUUCAAAAAUCCUUUCUUCCGCGCCAGUUGUAGUUGAGUUGUAGCUACAAAACAGAUCAUGCAUAUCGAAGGGAUUGACAGCUAGCUAUCCUUGACAUCAUUUCUGAUAUGCUUGGGAAUUUCAAUCUGGCUAUUUCAUUCAAACACCACUCACGGUUUGCUAAUCUGACAUUCUUCUGUCUGUGUGUCUUUUCUGCAUGCAGUUCAGUGAACUAAUCAAUGGUCACAGCCAAUUGAUUUCUAGUUCAUCAAAUACAUCACAAUCCACUGUUGCCUGAGUUGAGCUCUUCUGUUGUAUCCACAAGACUCAGUUGCACCGCAACGCGCACUCCUCGCAACAAGACACAUUAUGAUUGUUUUUGUUUUUAGUGUUAUUAUUAUUUUCUCUCCCCAUGUGUAAACAAGGCUUAGAGAAAUAUCUUUUGUUGAUGGGACAAGGCAUUCUCUGCUUUCUCCUACCAUAUUGUGGCGC
This 1997-nucleotide small RNA is filed under the name Histoplasma capsulatum. RNAcentral describes it as "hypothetical RNA". Lineage: Eukaryota; Fungi; Ascomycota; Eurotiomycetes; Onygenales; Ajellomycetaceae. The record is from RNAcentral. RNAcentral also lists the same sequence under 1 other name.